Non-coding RNA from Salmo salar (Atlantic salmon), 870 nucleotides. The record is from RefSeq and is a predicted model, not a curated record. Lineage: Eukaryota; Metazoa; Chordata; Actinopteri; Salmoniformes; Salmonidae.
UCAUGAGUUUGCACCAGUGUUCUGCAACAGUUUGGUAUUGUUUUAGUGAGCACUGAGGAAGGAAUAUAUGGAAGUACUCAGGACCUUUUCAAACAUCCUGAAUCCCCUUGUAUUUCUAGUGACCAGGCUGAGUACAUUAUACUACUACUACUACUAUUAGACUACUACUACUAUUAUUUAUAACAUGUAAAAGUGUUUCUCUGCUGUGGAGAUUAAAUAAUGGCCAUUGUUUUUCUUCCAAAAUUAUAUUAUAGAUAUUUAUCAAUGGAUUUAAGAAGAAUGUCUGGAUUGGUACAUAUAAAAAGAUGGAAUCUGGGAGUGGAUUGGCAUAACACUAUUUAAACCUACCUAUUGGAUGGAAGGGGAACCAAAUAACAUGCAUGACGAGUGUGUUGAGAUCUCACAGACGGCAUCAGACCCAUUGAAGAGUUGGAAGAAUGGUCUAUGUGCUACUCCAAAAUACUGGGUGUGUGAAAAACCGUUCACCCCAUAGUCUAAUUAUAAUAGCUAAAUGUAAGCCCUUAUCUUAUGGAAUUGCACUGGUUUUCCCUUUGUUAGUCUUAAACUGUUUUUGUUUCUAUGUGUAAUUAAAUUGAAAGAUGUAUUCAUGUCUUUAAAGAGACCAGAGCUAUGUGGAGUCUACCAUUCAUCAGGCCCAGGGGAGUGGAACUGUGGUCUAGUAGGCUCUAACUGUGGUUUAGAUUUUUACCAUUAUGGUGUGCAUAUAACAAUUUAACAAGAUGCUGUUUUCAUAUAAGUUUUACAGUUAUCAAUACAUUUCAAAUGCAGCAGUGUUCUGUUUUCGCUUCCAUUCUGUUCCAUAUGUACCAUGUGUUCAUUCUACUGAUUAAAUACAUGUAUAUACUAUGA